Molecule: ribosomal RNA, 510 nt
Filed under: Triticum aestivum (bread wheat)
Lineage: Eukaryota; Viridiplantae; Streptophyta; Magnoliopsida; Poales; Poaceae
Description: partial small subunit ribosomal RNA
Source: RNAcentral
AUGUGGUCCCUAGAGGGGGCAAAGGAGGUCUUGGGCAAGUUUUGCAUCAUUGACUGGCUCAACAGCCACACCUUCGAGCGCCGGGACACGCGCAUGUUCUCCUGCUGGGUGUGGGUGUGGAGCCUCAUGGACAUCCCCACCCGCCACUGCAUCUCCAGCUUCGAGGAGGGUGCCGGCCGGAUUGUGGAGAUGUUGGGCUACUCGCCGCCGCUCAGAGCCAACCGUGUUGUCCCGCCGCCCCCUGAGGGGGAGCGCGGCUCUCUGCUCUUCCACAUCGACCGCGUUGAGCACUGGACCCCUCGCGAGCCGGGGUCUCUUGCGUCCUAUCAGAGCGGUCUGCCCUCCUCGGGUUCCGACGACGACGACCGCCGCCCCAUGCCGGAGAUUGCCACGCUCGACUGGAGGUUCAACUUCGAGGACAAUCGAGAGCACCACCCCCACCGGCUCCAGUCCCUGCAUGACAUCUUUUGUCCUACCCUCCCGUGGCAGCGGGGUCCUAACAGAAACUAA